GAGUCUGGAAAGGCGUAAAGAGCUUGAAAGGUACUGACGAUAGGUUUGCCGAUCCGUCUGUCUAGGAUAUCUUUUCCGCCAUUUGGAGCGCUCUUUUAUUCAGAGCCAUCUUUUGGUACAGUCUGUCACUUCUAUAUGUGUAUAUUCUCGUUCAUGGGUACGGCGGGGCCCUGUCCCGCCAUAUGAUUCUGUUGGUCCAUUUAGAGGUCUGUAGACAUGUUUGUGGGUUGGGAUCUUUCUGUACAGCUGUGUGUAUAUGUUGUGUUUGGGCGAUCCCAUUCGCCGCGGCGGCCGGUCCGCAUAUAUUUAAAUGUUACUCUGUUGGCCCUGUGUGGCCUUUGUUGGUA
Molecule: long non-coding RNA, 347 nt
Organism: Lycium barbarum (goji berry)
Lineage: Eukaryota; Viridiplantae; Streptophyta; Magnoliopsida; Solanales; Solanaceae
Exons: 2
Source: RefSeq, a predicted model, not a curated record